Molecule: long non-coding RNA, 203 nt
Filed under: Elaeis guineensis (African oil palm)
Lineage: Eukaryota; Viridiplantae; Streptophyta; Magnoliopsida; Arecales; Arecaceae
Description: long non-coding RNA (EGUI_LNC012328)
Source: RNAcentral
UCCCUUCUAAAUUGAAGAUUGAUUCAGGUCAUGGAGUAGCCAAAGAGAAUCAAAUGAGUGACAACCUCCAGCUGUUAUAUAAACAUCAUAUAAUCCUUCAUAUCAUGUAUCAUGCAACCUUCACAAGACCCACAACUCGCAGGUCUAUCAUUGAGUACAUUCAUAUAGCCUAAGGACAUCUUAUCAUAUAUAUAUAUAGAGAG